Molecule: long non-coding RNA, 341 nt
Organism: Tarenaya hassleriana
Lineage: Eukaryota; Viridiplantae; Streptophyta; Magnoliopsida; Brassicales; Cleomaceae
Exons: 3
Source: RefSeq, a predicted model, not a curated record
AUGUUUCGGUCAUAUUCCCGAUAGUUUUCAACCUACUGGACGACUCGGAGGCAAAUCUGAAGAAUAUUGGCUAACUGUACAAGAGUACAAUACAAUCACAUCGCCACACAUAUACUGUUGAACUGUGAAGAACUUAAGCCAUACGAAAGACUUUUUGACGAGGAUGUUUUGGCAACAUAUCCUAAUCUAAGUGGGGAGGAACUUGAAGGAAUGAAGGAACAACAUUAUGCAUCUUGGCUUCGAGACUACAUUCGGUAGUCCCACACCGUAGGAUUGGGUCCCGCACCGUGUUGCAUGUGAAAUAUGGAUCUAUGGGUCCAAUUUUUAACACUCCAUAGCAC